CACGUAGGGCGCAAGCGUUGUCCGGAAUUAUUGGGCGUAAAGGGCUCGUAGGCGGUUUGUCACGUCGGGCGUGAAAACUCAGGGCUCAACCCUGAGCGUGCGUUCGAUACGGGCAGACUAGAGGUAUGCAGGGGAGAACGGAAUUCCUGGUGUAGCGGUGGAAUGCGCAGAUAUCAGGAGGAACACCGGUGGCGAAGGCGGUUCUCUGGGCAUUACCUGACGCUGAGGAGCGAAAGCAUGGGGAGCGAACAGG
Molecule: ribosomal RNA, 253 nt
Filed under: uncultured bacterium
Lineage: Bacteria
Description: partial 16S ribosomal RNA
Rfam family: Bacterial small subunit ribosomal RNA
Source: RNAcentral